RNAcentral lists this ribosomal RNA (497 nucleotides) under uncultured bacterium. RNAcentral's name for it is "partial 16S ribosomal RNA". It matches the Rfam family "Bacterial small subunit ribosomal RNA", at positions 28 to 507 of the family's 1533-position model. The record is from RNAcentral.
GAUGAACGCUGGCGGCGUGCCUAAUACAUGCAAGUCGAGCGAACGGACGAGAAGCUUGCUUUUCUGAUGUUAGCGGCGGACGGGUGAGUAACACGUGGAUAACCUACCUAUAAGACUGGGAUAACUUCGGGAAACCGGAGCUAAUACCGGAUAAUAUUUUGAACCGCAUUGUUCAAAAGUGAAAGACGGUCUUGCUGUCACUUAUAGAUGGAUCCGCGCUGCAUUAGCUAGUUGGUAAGGUAACGGCUUACCAAGGCAACGAUGCAUAGCCGACCUGAGAGGGGGAUAGCCAACAAUGGAAAUGAGAAAAGGUACAGACGCCUACGGGAGGCAGCAGUAGGGAAUCUUCCGCAAUGGGCGAAAGCCUGACGGAGCAACGCCGCGUGAGUGAUGAAGGUCUUCGGAUCGUAAAACUCUGUUAUUAGGGAAGAACAUAUGUGUAAGUAACUGUGCACAUCUUGACGGUACCUAAUCAGAAAGCCACGGCUAACUACGUG